RNAcentral lists this ribosomal RNA (215 nucleotides) under uncultured bacterium. RNAcentral describes it as "partial 16S ribosomal RNA". It matches the Rfam family "Bacterial small subunit ribosomal RNA", at positions 1285 to 1500 of the family's 1533-position model. The record is from RNAcentral.
GUCCCAGUUCGGAUUGCAGGCUGCAACCCGCCUGCAUGAAGUUGGAAUCGCUAGUAAUCGCGGAUCAGCAUGCCGCGGUGAAUACGUUCCCGGGCCUUGUACACACCGCCCGUCACACCAUGAGAGUCGGGAACACCCGAAGUCCGUAGCCUGACCGCAAGGGGGCGCGGCCGAAGGUGGGUUCGAUAAUUGGGGUGAAGUCGUAACAAGGUAGC